This 749-nucleotide ribosomal RNA is filed under the name uncultured Gemmatimonadota bacterium. RNAcentral's name for it is "bacterial SSU rRNA". It matches the Rfam family "Bacterial small subunit ribosomal RNA", at positions 82 to 834 of the family's 1533-position model. Lineage: Bacteria; Pseudomonadati; Gemmatimonadota. The record is from RNAcentral.
CCCGCAAGGGCAACCGGCGAACGGGUGCGUAACACGUGAGCAAUUUGCCGAUUUCUGGGGGAUAGCCGGCCCAACGGCCGGGUAAUACCGCAUACGCUCAAGAAGAGGAGUCUCUUUUUGAGGAAACCUCCGGGGGAAAUCGAGGAGCUCGCGGCCUAUCAGCUAGUUGGCGGGGUAACGGCCCACCAAGGCGACGACGGGUAGCUGGUCUGAGAGGAUGGCCAGCCACAUUGGGACUGAGAGACGGCCCAGACUCCUACGGGAGGCAGCAGUGGGGAAUCUUGCGCAAUGGCCGAAAGGCUGACGCAGCGACGCCGCGUGUGGGAUGAAGCAUUUCGGUGUGUAAACCACUGUUGCCCGGGACGAACAGCUUCUUUCGAGGAGCCUGACGGUACCGGGUGAGGAAGCACCGGCUAACUCCGUGCCAGCAGCCGCGGUAAUACGGAGGGUGCGAGCGUUGUCCGGAAUCACUGGGCGUAAAGGGCGCGUANGUGGCGCGACAAGUCAACGGUGAAAGCCCGGGGCUCAACCCCGGGUCGGCCGUCGAUACUGUUGGGCUUGAGCACUGUAGAGGCAGGUGGAAUUCCGGGUGUAGCGGUGGAAUGCGUAAGAUCCGGAAGAACACCGGUGGCGAAGGCGGCCUGCUGGGCAGUAGCUGACACUGAGGCGCGACAGCGUGGGGAGCAAACAGGAUUAGAUACCCUGGUAGUCCACGCCGUAACGAUGGGCACUAGAUGCUUGGGGGAGCG